Molecule: ribosomal RNA, 484 nt
Filed under: uncultured bacterium
Lineage: Bacteria
Description: bacterial SSU rRNA
Rfam family: Bacterial small subunit ribosomal RNA
Source: RNAcentral
AUUGAACGCUGGCGGCAUGCCUUACACAUGCAAGUCGAACGGUAACAGGGAGCUUGCUCCGCUGACGAGUGGCGAACGGGUGAGUAAUGUAUCGGAACGUACCAUUCAGUGGGGGAUAACGUAGCGAAAGUUACGCUAAUACCGCAUAUUCUGUGAGCAGGAAAGCAGGGGAUCGCAAGACCUUGCGCUGAUUGAGCGGCCGAUGUCAGAUUAGCUAGUUGGUGAGGUAAAGGCUCACCAAGGCGACGAUCUGUAGCGGGUCUGAGAGGAUGAUCCGCCACACUGGAACUGAGACACGGUCCAGACUCCUACGGGAGGCAGCAGUGGGGAAUUUUGGACAAUGGGGGCAACCCUGAUCCAGCCAUGCCGCGUGAGUGAAGAAGGCCUUCGGGUUGUAAAGCUCUUUCGGCCGGGAAGAAAUCGUAUGGGUUAAUACCCUGUGCGGAUGACGGUACCGGCAUAAGAAGCACCGGCUAACUACGUG